RNAcentral lists this ribosomal RNA (406 nucleotides) under Cryptosporidium parvum. Its description in RNAcentral is "partial 18S ribosomal RNA". It matches the Rfam family "Eukaryotic small subunit ribosomal RNA", at positions 665 to 1080 of the family's 1831-position model. The record is from RNAcentral. Lineage: Eukaryota; Apicomplexa; Conoidasida; Eucoccidiorida; Cryptosporidiidae.
UAAUAAUUUAUAUAAAAUAUUUUGAUGAAUAUUUAUAUAAUAUUAACAUAAUUCAUAUUACUAUUUUUUUUUUUAGUAUAUGAAAUUUUACUUUGAGAAAAUUAGAGUGCUUAAAGCAGGCAUAUGCCUUGAAUACUCCAGCAUGGAAUAAUAUUAAAGAUUUUUAUCUUUUUUAUUGGUUCUAAGAUAAGAAUAAUGAUUAAUAGGGACAGUUGGGGGCAUUUGUAUUUAACAGUCAGAGGUGAAAUUCUUAGAUUUGUUAAAGACAAACUAAUGCGAAAGCAUUUGCCAAGGAUGUUUUCAUUAAUCAAGAACGAAAGUUAGGGGAUCGAAGACGAUCAGAUACCGUCGUAGUCUUAACCAUAAACUAUGCCAACUAGAGAUUGGAGGUUGUUCCUUACUCCUU